Molecule: transfer RNA, 67 nt
Filed under: Geocapromys thoracatus
Lineage: Eukaryota; Metazoa; Chordata; Mammalia; Rodentia; Capromyidae
Description: tRNA-Gly
Source: RNAcentral
ACUUUUUUAGUAUAAUUAGUAUUACUGACUUCCAAUCAGUAGGCUCCGUGUAAAGCGGGAAAAAGUA